UUUAAAAUAAGAUGCCUCGACUACUAUAGGUUGUUGGGCGUUACAAGAUAAGAGAAAAUUACAGGUAAGUGAUUUGAGUUAAGGAAAACACCAACCAGGGUGAAUGAGUUAUUGCACUGUAAUGCAGAUUCUGAUUGCUUGAGGUGCUGAUCUGGGCUUACUGAGCGAUUUAUGCUCAUCCAAUUAUUUAUUGUUAUUUUUCCAAAUCAAAUAAAAUAAGAGGGUGAUCCCAAUCCAAUGAACGUAGU
RNAcentral lists this long non-coding RNA (248 nucleotides) under Carica papaya (papaya). Its description in RNAcentral is "long non-coding RNA (CPAP_LNC001713)". Lineage: Eukaryota; Viridiplantae; Streptophyta; Magnoliopsida; Brassicales; Caricaceae. The record is from RNAcentral.